UUGUGCUUCAUCAUAAGGGUAUUCCGGACAGGAUGCUGCAUAAUGACCAAGCCUUCCACAGGAGUAGCAGUAAUGGGACAAUCUCUCAUACCGGAAAUCGAGCCAUAGGGUCUUGCCGUCAAUACAGAUGAGUUUUCCUGUUUUCAAGGGUUCUUUUAAAUCUAAUUCAAUCCUGAUUCGUGCAGAGAUAUCAGUUUUCACAUCCUGAACUUUACCUAUCUGGGAUACAGCUCUACGCAAGAUAGGAGGAGAAGUCCAUUCCAGAGGCUUUCUUCAUCGCAACAUGAAAUGCUGAUAAAUUCACAGAAGGGUUUGUAAAAAUAUUACCCACCAGUAUAAGGCGACAAUCCUGCAGUUUGGCCGAAGCAGGGAUAUCAUCCCAAACCUCCAACUCCUGUUCCGAGCAUAAACGACCCAGGCGACUACAAAGGGAAGCAAUUCUGGAGGGGUUGCAUGUUACAGAUCGUCAACAUGCAAAGUAAGAAGUACUGAUAUUUGAGGGUGACGGAGUAGACAUCGGACGCAGAGGAAGGAGAUGACUGGAGGGAGUGGCUGGAAUUGCGCAUGCAAAGGAAGAAAAGAGGAGCAGAAGCAGUUACGGACAAGAUGGCGAUGAACACCAGUGGUUCAAAUGAAAGGCAAAGUGCAGGAGAAUAGCUUAGGGAAAUGAAGACAUGAUGAAAAACUCGAACAUUA
Long non-coding RNA from Eucalyptus grandis, 696 nucleotides. RefSeq lists it as uncharacterized. The transcript is spliced from 3 exons. The record is from RefSeq and is a predicted model, not a curated record. Lineage: Eukaryota; Viridiplantae; Streptophyta; Magnoliopsida; Myrtales; Myrtaceae.